UACGUAGGUCCCGAGCGUUGUCCGGAUUUAUUGGGCGUAAAGCGAGCGCAGGUGGUUUAUUAAGUCUGGUGUAAAAGGCAGUGGCUCAACCAUUGUAUGCAUUGGAAACUGGUAGACUUGAGUGCAGGAGAGGAGAGUGGAAUUCCAUGUGUAGCGGUGAAAUGCGUAGAUAUAUGGAGGAACACCGGUGGCGAAAGCGGCUCUCUGGACUGUAACUGACGUUGAGGCUCGAAAGCGUGGGGAGCAAACAGG
This 252-nucleotide ribosomal RNA is filed under the name uncultured bacterium. Its description in RNAcentral is "partial 16S ribosomal RNA". It matches the Rfam family "Bacterial small subunit ribosomal RNA", at positions 524 to 776 of the family's 1533-position model. The record is from RNAcentral.